This 367-nucleotide ribosomal RNA is filed under the name uncultured organism. Its description in RNAcentral is "bacterial SSU rRNA". It matches the Rfam family "Bacterial small subunit ribosomal RNA", at positions 526 to 896 of the family's 1533-position model. The record is from RNAcentral.
CAGAGACUGCGAGCGUUAUUCGGAUUCACUGGGCGUAAAGGGUGCGCAGGCGGCCGUGUGUGUGAGGCGUGAAAGCCCGGGGCUUAACCCCGGAAUUGCACCUCAAACUACAUGGCUAGAGCAUUGGAGAGGGUAGCGGAAUUCACGGUGUAGCAGUGAAAUGCGUAGAUAUCGUGAGGAACACCAGAGGCGAAGGCGGCUACCUGGACAAUUGCUGACGCUCAGGCACGAAAGCGUGGGGAGCAAAAGGGAUUAGAUACCCCUGUAGUCCACGCCCUAAACGGUGCACACUAGUCUCGCCGAUCGCCCAUCAGGGCCCAAGCUAACGCGUUAAGUGUGCCGCCUGAGGACUACGGCCGCAAGGCUA